This 448-nucleotide ribosomal RNA is filed under the name Candidatus Anaplasma amazonensis. RNAcentral's name for it is "partial 16S ribosomal RNA". It matches the Rfam family "Bacterial small subunit ribosomal RNA", at positions 137 to 619 of the family's 1533-position model. The record is from RNAcentral. Lineage: Bacteria; Pseudomonadati; Pseudomonadota; Alphaproteobacteria; Rickettsiales; Anaplasmataceae. RNAcentral also lists the same sequence under 1 other name.
UAUGGGAUAGCCACUAGAAAUGGUGGGUAAUACUGUAUAAUCCCUGCGGGGGAAAGAUUUAUCGCUACUGGAUGAGCCUAUGUUAGAUUAGCUAGUUGGUGGGGUAAUGGCCUACCAAGGCUGUGAUCUAUAGCUGGUCUGAGAGGAUGAUCAGCCACACUGGAACUGAGACACGGUCCAGACUCCUACGGGAGGCAGCAGUGGGGAAUAUUGGACAAUGGGCGCAAGCCUGAUCCAGCUAUGCCGCGUGAGUGAGGAAGGCCUUAGGGUUGUAAAACUCUUUCAGCAGGGAAGAUAAUGACGGUACCUGCAGAAGAAGUCCCGGCAAACUCCGUGCCAGCAGCCGCGGUAAUACGGAGGGGGCAAGCGUUGUUCGGAAUUAUUGGGCGUAAAGGGCAUGUAGGCGGUUUGGUAAGUUAAAGGUGAAAUGCCAGGGCUUAACCCUGGA